Molecule: ribosomal RNA, 550 nt
Filed under: uncultured bacterium
Lineage: Bacteria
Description: partial 16S ribosomal RNA
Rfam family: Bacterial small subunit ribosomal RNA
Source: RNAcentral
UGGGGAAUAUUGGACAAUGGGCGCAAGCCUGAUCCAGCCAUGCCGCGUGAGUGAUGAAGGCCUUAGGGUUGUAAAGCUCUUUCGACGGGGACGAUAAUGACGGUACCCGUAGAACGAAGCCCCGGUCUAACUUCGUGCCAGCAGCCGCGGUAAGUACGAAGGGGGCUAGCGUUGCUCGGAAUCACUGGGCGUAAAGGGCGCGUAGGCGGACGUUUAAGUCAGAGGUGAAAGCCCAGGGCUCAACCCUGGAAUGGCCUUUGAUACUGGACGUCUUGAGUCUGGUAGAGGUUGGUGGAACUGCGAGUGUAGAGGUGAAAUUCGUAGAUAUUCGCAAGAACACCGGUGGCGAAGGCGGCCAACUGGACCAGAACUGACGCUGAGGCGCGAAAGCGUGGGGAGCAAACAGGAUUAGAUACCCUGGUAGUCCACGCCGUAAACGAUGGAUGCUAGCCGUUGGCCGGUUUACCGGUCAGUGGCGCAGCUAACGCGUUAAGCAUCCCGCCUGGGGAGUACGGCCGCAAGGUUAAAACUUAAAGGAAUUGACGGGGUC